GAUGAAGAACGCAGCGAAAUGCGAUACUUGGUGUGAAUUACAGAAUCCCGUGAACCAUCGAGUCUUUGAACGCAAGUUGCGCCCGAAGCCAUUAGGCCGAGGGCACGCCUGCCUGGGCGUCACACGUCGUUGCCCCCCCAUCUACUCCUUCGGGAUUGCGGGGGGCGGAUGAUGGCCUCCCGUGCGCCUCGCCGCGCGGUUGGCAUAAAUGCCAAGUCCUCGGCGACGCACGCCACGACAAUCGGUGGUUGCGAAACCUCGGUUGCCCGUCGUGUGCGGUCGUCGCGCAUCGAGGGCUCGAAAAAAUUGCCGGGUUCCGGCUCGGCUUUCAACGCGACCCCAGGUCAGGCGGGGUUACCCGCUGAAUUUAAGCAUAUCAAUAAGCGGAGGA
Molecule: unclassified non-coding RNA, 391 nt
Filed under: soil metagenome
Description: partial contains 5.8S ribosomal RNA, internal transcribed spacer 2, and large subunit ribosomal RNA
Rfam family: 5.8S ribosomal RNA (bases 1-122)
Source: RNAcentral